This is a ribosomal RNA of 679 nucleotides. The stretch from base 275 to 428 matches the Rfam family "5.8S ribosomal RNA".
UAGAGGAAGUAAAAGUCGUAACAAGGUUUCCGUAGGUGAACCUGCGGAAGGAUCAUUAAUGAAUUUUGAAAGGGGUUGUAGCUGGCYUUUUCGUUUGAGAGGCAUUUUGUGCACACCCUGAUCAUCAUCCAUUUCAGACACCUGUGCACAUACUGUAGGUUGGUUUGUGAGGCAGGCACUUUCAUCGGUGCAGCUUUGUGAGCCUUCCUAUGUUUUUAUUAUAAACAACUGUCGUUUAAAGAAUGUUUAUUGCGUGCAACGCAUCUACAUAUACAACUUUCAGCAACGGAUCUCUUGGCUCUCGCAUCGAUGAAGAACGCAGCGAAAUGCGAUAAGUAAUGUGAAUUGCAGAAUUCAGUGAAUCAUCGAAUCUUUGAACGCAUCUUGCGCUCCUUGGUAUUCCGAGGAGCAUGCCUGUUUGAGUGUCAUGGAAUUCUCAACCUCAUUUGCUUCUGUGAAUGAGGCUUGGAUUUGGAGGUGUUUGCUGGAUUUGUAUGUUCAGCUCCUCUUGAAUUCAUUAGCUCGAGCCUUUUGCGGAUCGGCCUCAGUGUGAUAAUUAUCUACGCUGUUCUGUGAAGCAUUACACUGUGGGUUUCGGCUUCCAAUUGUCUUUGCGGACAACAAAUUUGAUCUUUGACCUCAGAUCAGGUAGGAUUACCCGCUGAACUUAAGCAUAUCA